GACGAACGCUGGCGGCGUGCCUAACACAUGCAAGUCGAACGGGGCACCUUCGGGUGCUUAGUGGCGAACGGGUGAGUAACGCGUGAGAAACCUGCCUCUCAGUGGGGGACAACAGUUGGAAACGACUGCUAAUACCGCAUAAUGUUAUGGAAGGGCAUCCUUCUGAAACCAAAGCUUUAUGUGCUGAGAGAUGGUCUCGCGUCUGAUUAGCUAGAUGGCGGGGUAACGGCCCACCAUGGCGACGAUCAGUAGCCGGUCUGAGAGGAUGAACGGCCACAUUGGGACUGAGACACGGCCCAGACUCCUACGGGAGGCAGCAGUGGGGGAUAUUGCACAAUGGAGGAAACUCUGAUGCAGCAACGCCGCGUGAGGGAAGAAGGUUUUUCGGAUUGUAAACCUCUGUUUUUAGUGAAGAACAAAUGACGGUAGCUAAAGAGGAAGCCACGGCUAACUACGUG
Molecule: ribosomal RNA, 458 nt
Filed under: uncultured bacterium
Lineage: Bacteria
Description: bacterial SSU rRNA
Rfam family: Bacterial small subunit ribosomal RNA
Source: RNAcentral